Molecule: long non-coding RNA, 3835 nt
Organism: Prionailurus viverrinus (fishing cat)
Lineage: Eukaryota; Metazoa; Chordata; Mammalia; Carnivora; Felidae
Exons: 2
Source: RefSeq, a predicted model, not a curated record
GCCCCGGCCGCCUCUUCUGCGCCGAGGUUUUGGCACGCGGGGGCCUCGGGGGCCUCGGGAGACGAGGCUGGCAGGGGCAGGCACAGUUGGUGCGUGGCAAACCGAACCUGUCAAUUCCAGAAGCGUUUGGCACAUUGUUGAAGCGACUAGAUGACUUUGAGAAGUGUCUGCGUGUUUUUUCCCCAAGUGUAGUUAUUUUUGCCGCUGUGAAAUGUUCUGAAAUCUGACAGUUUUGUUUUGAGUCUUAGCCCGAUGUGAAGACAGAAAGGAACACUGCCUCCCAGUUCUGUGGCACUCGCUUCUUGGGGUCCCCUGAGGACACCCUGAUCCUGGCAGAGGUGGGCGAGGGGACGCCAGGUGACCGAGGUCUCCCAGGUGUGAGCGCACAGUGGGUCGGGCCUGGGAGCCUCCAGACCCACUCGGGGCCCGAGACCAAGGGCUGAUUUGGCCAAAGUUAAAGCACCUACUGUGCGCCGGGCCCUCGCACCAUUUAUCGAGCGCCCGCGAUGUUCAUCCUCAGACACAGACUAGGCACCUACUGUGUGUCAGGCCUCCGUCCACCCAACGUUUACCAGGCACCUGCCAUGUGGUGUAGAGACACCGGAGGGCUCUCGGCACGGGGCUGACAAGCUCCCCUUGCCGCGUUGCUGGCAGGAGGUGGGUGAGGGGGCUGCCGAAGGGGCGAAGACCCCGGAGGAGGGAGAGAUGACUCGGAUGCCGUCCCGGCUCCUCCAAAGCCCGCAGCCCAGCCGGGACCCUGCUGGGGAGCGGCCCAGGGCGGGAGGAUCCACGUGCAACAGGGGGACUGGACACCGUCCCCAUCCCCUCUGCCACCCUCUUCCCACCCUCUAGCUGACCCCACGCAGCCCACGUUGUCCCCGCCACGGGUGCCAUGUGCCCGGGCCGCUCCGGGCGUCCCACACCGCGUCUCUCGCCCGCAAACCUCUCACGGGCCUCCUCAGCGACGUGGGCCGCGCCUGGGUCUCCUGGGCGGGCAGCGUCGUGCCUGCCUUCUCCUCGGGGUCCCGGACUCCGAGCACAGGGUCAGAAGGCCGUAAGGUGACGUCGCUGAGAGCCGGCGGAGCGCCCGGCCUUACCUGCGUCGUCUCACCGGACCCCAGCGCCCCGGGGAGGCAGCGGGGACCGCAGUCCCCAUUUUCACAGACGACGGCACAGAGGCACAGAUGACUAAGUCACCCGAGGACACACAGCGAGUCCGGUGCCUCCCGGACAAAGCACAUCGUCAGGAGCUAGAGCAGCAGCAACUUCGGGUGUGCGUGGCCACGGGUCGCGCACCUGCCGCACUGUCGCCGCGGCGACCGACGACGCGGCCCUUUCCGGAGGGGCGAGCGAGGCCGGCACUGCAGCCUGAAGACGUGGCGAGGCCUCCCUCCCCCUCCCCAGCCCGCACGCAGGCCCGCGGCUGUGUCAGCCGGACCACAGGGCCGGCAGCCGUGACAAAGGUCCCCGCGGCCCAGUGAGCGGAACCUCUCCCGUGUCACAAGCCACGCAGGGCUCACGCGGCAGCUCCCGGUGGCCGGGGCACCGGCUGCUCCUAUUCCCAUCCCGCUGUCCUCCCGUACCUUCUACCUUGCCACUCAGGAAGCUGCUGCCCGGAGCCGCAGAUCCGCCGGGCAGCCAGGGGAAGACGGUAGACGAGAGCGGGCCGUGGGGCCCUUUCCGCAGGAAGCCGCACACGCGCGUUUUGCUUACGGCCCAUUGGUCACACGGCCACGGGCUGCGGUGAGGGAGGCAGGGGGCAUCCCCUUCGGUGGGCUGCCCUAUGCGGAGCUUGAACUUGAAGGGCUCUGCCCGGACAGAAAGAAAGGGCAGGUGGACUGGGGGACCGCUAACGAUCUAGGCCACAGGCCGGCCCUUUGGGGCCCGUGAUUCCCGCACAGACUCUCCCUUCUGUGCUCUGAGCGCACUCGGCCCCUUCCAGUGGGCGUGGCCCUGAGGUCCCUUCCAGGCUCUGUGUCCAGCCACACCCAGGAUCCGUGUGUGAUGCAUUUCGAGGCUGCUGUGACCCCUCAACGAAAGGGGAACCAUGGACCGUCAUGAAAAGGGCAAGUUCACGGCGGUGCAGGGACGGACUGCUGUAAAGAGUUGCCUUUGGCGGAGAGGAGGGUGGACCGUGGGGCAGCCGCUCUCCCAGGACCAGCCUCGCCGCGGCCCUGCGUCAGCCAGCCCUUUGGGGCCCCCGCGUCUGUCUGCUCGCUUGGACCACCUCGCCUGCUGUCCCCGCCGUCCUGGCUCUGUCCUCCCGGAGCGGGCACCUGCCCCACCGUCCGCCCUCAGCCCACACCUGAAGAAGCCCGGCAUGUGCUCAGCCUUCCUAACUCAUUUCUGGUUCUGUCCACAUUCCUGGGGCGUCCAGGAAUUUCUUUGGGGGCGGGUUACGAAAAACAACAGGCUUUUGAAAGCCAGGCUUGGGGUUUAUUUGGAAAUAUAAUUCCUUCUAAAACUAGUCAACUGCUGGUCCAUUUACAACCGGUUACUGCCAUGUUGCAUGUAACCCCACCUAGAGAUCUUGUCCAGACCUGGCUUUUUAUUCUCACGAAGUUGGUCUCUUCUUUCCAGGCCCAUCUUGCGGUUGACUUAUCUUGCUCAUUCAAGAGCAACUGCCUUGCUGUCCCCGGAAUCAACAGGCUUGGCCAGGGGGACAGCACUCCAUUCAGAUCGCGGCCCCAGGGCCGGCCCCCCUGUCCUGCUGGGGAUGCCUCCUGGGACCAACCUCUUCUCUUCCACCGAGACUGUGUCUCCAAAGCCAUCUGUCCAAACACGGGCAGUUCUGGAUGUGGAGCCACUGGGACGUCAGAAGCCUAGAUGCCGGGGAGCCCGCUGCUCUGUCCUCCACAAGAAACUCUGAGCUCACGGUCUCAGAUGGCUGCGGCAGCUCCCUCCAUCCCGUCUGCAUUCCAGCCAGGGCCAAGAGGAGAAGUCAUGCUCUGCCCCUUUCUCCGAGGCCCAGGGCUUGGAACGUGCACACGUCAACCCGCUCAUAGUCCAUAGUGAGGUGGGAUCUGAGGCUCGGGAUGUUCAGCCACCCACGUGCGUGUGCGCACGCGUGCGUUGCCCGGGUCUGUCUGCCCCUUCGUCCCGUGCUCUUCCCUCGGGCAGCCCCGUGGGGAAGAGGUGAGUCUGGGGGAGAAGCGAGACCCUCUGUUCCAAACCCCAAAGUGCGUGCGCCGUGGACCCAUACCACGGGAGGGAUUCCCGACCCGCCCUCGCGUACUUGUGGCCGUUUGCCUCGAGGCCCAGAUGCCCGCUGUGUGCCGCGGGUUCGUUACCAGCGGCCGCAGGCCCGGCAGGGUCCCUGUGCACCCCUUCCCUGCUGCACACGCCUCAGCUUUCCACCUGUGACCUGGGGCGGACACUUCUGUCCUGCGACUUCAUACGUCGCUGUGGGAAGUCCGGCGGGACCCGGGAGCCAACGGCCUGGGAGCUGUGAGCAGGUGCGUGUCCUGUGCUCGGCUGAGUACAGGCCCUGGGGCGACUCGGAUGAGACAGGGACGGAUUGCCCGGGUGGACCAUCGUGACCUCGAGGGUGCUCAUAAGGGAAGGAGGGACGUAGGUGAGGAGGGGCUCAGAGUCAGGGAAAAGGAGAUGUGAUGAUGAGGGAAGCGGAGGUCGUAAUGCUGCGACUCAAAGACGGAGAAUGGCGCUGGGAGCGAGGGAUGCGGGCGCCUCCAGAAGCUGGCCGUGGCCGGGAAACGGAUGCUCCCGCUAGAGCCUCCAGAAGGAGCUGGCUCCGCGACAUCUUGGUUCUAGCCCAGCGAGGCCACUUUGGACGCCUGACUUCCAGCACCGUCUAGUCAUAAAUUUGUGCUGUUUG